Phragmites australis (common reed) is the source of this 1220-nucleotide long non-coding RNA. RefSeq lists it as uncharacterized. NCBI's taxonomy places the organism in Eukaryota, Viridiplantae, Streptophyta, Magnoliopsida, Poales, Poaceae. The record is from RefSeq and is a predicted model, not a curated record. The transcript is spliced from 5 exons.
UUUUGAAACAAGGUGAGAUGAGUGUUGGUGGUGGGUGCCAUGCGUCACGAGACCGUGCUCGAGUCUAGGGGCGGAUCCGCCAUGGUGGCUCAAGCCCUCUAUAAGCCCCUAUUCAAUUUAUCCUACCAUCAUUUAUCCUAAUCCACUACGUUUUCCUUCCUCCGGGCGGGAUUCACGCACGGGGGCGCGAUCUGCGGGCGGGAUUCGCGCGGCGGGCGCGAUCUGCGGGCGGGGUGCAACAGGCAUCGCGCGACGGCGCGACGGCGGCGGGCCUCAGCGCGACGCGGAUGGCGGUGCUAGGAAAAAACAGGACGGCGAGCAAGCAAGCGGCGGCUCCAUCAACCACGGCUUCACCUCAUGCAUGCCGACGCUGACCUCCUCGGUGUCUCCCACACCUCCUAUGCUCGGUUACAGCCCAGGUAGCCGUUCUCGCCGUCACAAUCGCCACCACCGAGCACGCGCCAAUGACGCAUGCAAUGAUGCAAGGUGUUCGACGUUUGGUCGCGACCUGGACGCCCGUGUUCUGACAUCUACGACCACUUCCUCUGCAUCGCCCACGGCUUCCUCGACAUCUCCUUCAGCCCAGGACGCCAUCCUCGCCAUCCCCAUCAGUUGCAGACACGCAGUUGCAGGUUCUACGUCGAGCUGCCCAGUGACUGCCUGAACAUUACCUGCAGGUGUGGAUUUGAGUUCUGCUAAGCGAUGGGAGCUGAUAGAUGACGGCUGUCCUGGGGCAUGAAGUAGAUUUCAUUCAUAUGUAUACUCAUUGCAAUAUAUAUACAUUUCUGGGAAAAUUGCAAAUUUUAGAAGACAACAGAUGACCAAAGCAUGCAUCACAUUAUCCACUACAACAGUGAUCAAUACAUGGAAUCCCGUGGGACAUACAACGCAAAAGACUUUCCCAGCUGAGUCACCAUCUGAGUUCAAGUUCUCCCUUCUUCCUGUGAUCCUUGCAGCUGUGAGAAAUUUCUGCAUUUUUUCCUUCUUACGCAGCAGCUGUGAGAAAGCAACAAUUGCUCUGUGAUCCUUGCGGCUCUAUCCAAAGGAAAAAAAUCGCACUGUGGCUGCAUUACACAACAAUGUCAUCAGGCAGCUGAAAAAAAAUGAGCUCCUGCGAUGCACAAAAAGACCUUUUGUGUGCUGAUAUACAAAUAUGCUAUAAGUUUUUGUUUUGUAUACAAGGAAGAUAAUGAUCAAAUAUAAAAACCUUGCCCCUUGAU